GGGCCAUAGCUUGGUGGUAGAAUAUUUGCUUUGCAUGCAGAAGGUCCCAGGUUCAAUCCCCAGCAUCUCCA
Molecule: non-coding RNA, 71 nt
Organism: Podarcis lilfordi (Lilford's wall lizard)
Lineage: Eukaryota; Metazoa; Chordata; Lepidosauria; Squamata; Lacertidae
Source: the annotation of a GenBank genome assembly